UUAGGGAGCAGAGCGACCUGCCACAUCCAGUGCCUUGCAGAAGUCCUCACACCAGCACCUUGCAAUUAAGCAAGCGUGGUGCUCUGCAGAGAGCACGGAACGCAGUCGCUCACUGAUUUUCUGAUGAAGCACCAGAGCUUUGCUUACUGCUCCACUUUCACCUGCAGAACGUGACGCCUGCUUCUCGAAGCAAAGGCUCUGCUCAGGUCACAUGAAACUCAAAAAUAACAAGAAAAUCCAUUGGAGUUUAAGGAGAAAUAUCCUGAUGAGAAUCCUCCCUUCCAUUUAGUUUCCAGUGCAGCUUAACUCUGAGUGUGCUGAAGCUUGAAAUGUAGCUUCCGAUUUAUAAUAGCGACAGGACAUGCAGCAAAUGUCAACAAAUCCCCUGUCACCCAGGCAAGGAGGAAAUGUGAGAGAAAUGUCCAAGUCUCCUAAUAAAGGCGGGAAAGCUGCAAGUGAGCCACAAUGGAUGCAAGAUGAUGAAGCUCCAAUUGGAAAGGAAGAAUAUGUUCACAGUAGAUGAGAGUGUGGCAGCUGUUUUAGGUCCUCGACUACUGCAUGGAUGUUUUCUGUAGCAUCAGCUCUGUUGCCACUCCUCACCAUUCAUCUGCAAAAGCUGCACAUACCUGACUCACCUGCCCUUUUUUAGGGUGACUUCAGUGGGUCCUGGAGAAUAAGAAUUACCAAAGCUGCACUUUCAUUGUGCAUGUGAUUAGUAAUAAUCAUAGGUAUCUGAGGAGAGCAUCCAGUAAGGAAAUCACCUAAAGAGCAGGAGUCUCCAGGACCUGUGUGGAGGGGGGAAGGAAUAAACAAAGAACUGAGUAGAGUGAAUGUGUCACAAAUUACCACAAACACACUGUGACUCAAUGCACUUUUCAUUUCUCUCCUCAUUAACUGUGUCUUGCUCAAAAUGAGAGACUGGGUCUAAACAUAAUCAAGUCCCACAGAUAACAAUUGACUUGACUGCUGGGGCAGUCAUCACCUUCUAGCUACUGGGAAAUAAAUUUAGAAAUAAAAUGAGUUAAAAUAAAAUUCACUCUGCUCUCUUUUCUGUGCUCAGAUAAUUUGAAGGCCAUCAAGGCCUGCAGAAACAAUCCAUCUCUCUGUGAAAAGGAAAGCAGCCUGUGCCACUACCAAUAAGGCAUGUCUUUAGUGUUAUCAAGAGUAAGUAUAAUUACACAGUGGAAAGGCCAUCAAAGUGUCUUGGGUGCUGGUAUUUUUUU
This is a non-coding RNA of Cyanistes caeruleus (blue tit), 1223 nucleotides long. NCBI's taxonomy places the organism in Eukaryota, Metazoa, Chordata, Aves, Passeriformes, Paridae. The record is from RefSeq and is a predicted model, not a curated record.